GUGGAGAGUAGAUUGGAGUCAGGCAAGCA
This 29-nucleotide non-coding RNA is filed under the name Macaca fascicularis (crab-eating macaque). Lineage: Eukaryota; Metazoa; Chordata; Mammalia; Primates; Cercopithecidae. RNAcentral also lists the same sequence under 1 other name. The record is from RNAcentral.